AGCUUUUGUCUGUGAUCCAUGUGGAAACCAUUCUUCUGUGUAUAGUGUAAGGGAAACCACCUUUGCUUUGACAUAUGUGUGUAAACGGUAUUGUCUGUCGAACGUUGCCUCGUGAGUCAUAAAAAGAAACAUCCCAGCCUCUUUGUUAAGAGAAGUGCUGUCAAGCUAUUUACAUUCUUACGAACAGACACAAGUCUACACAAAAUGACAAGCGCACAUUUCGGUGGGCACAACAGAGAAGUGACACUUCGGAAAAGUAAUUCAGUAACAUGGAAGACAAAUUUGAGAAGCCAUCCCAGAAAGCAGAGGAAAAAGACAAAGCCAAAAUCUGAAAGAGAAAUAAAGUUAUUAACUUGGGGAGGGGAUGGUGAAGAAAAGGCAGAAUAAGAACUAUGCGAGACAGAAAACAAAGAUUCACUUCACCGUUGUCACUUCCGUUCCUUCAUA
This 447-nucleotide long non-coding RNA is filed under the name Homo sapiens (human). RNAcentral describes it as "HSALNT0159544". Lineage: Eukaryota; Metazoa; Chordata; Mammalia; Primates; Hominidae. The record is from RNAcentral.